UACGUAGGGGGCUAGCGUUGUUCGGAUUCAUUGGGCGUAAAGGGUGCGUAGGUGGCGCGCUAAGUCAGGUGUGAAAUCUCGGGGCUUAACUCCGAAACUGCAUUUGAUACUGGCGUGCUUGAGGACUGGAGAGGAGACUGGAAUUCAUGGUGUAGCAGUGAAAUGCGUAGAGAUCAUGAGGAAGACCAGUGGCGAAGGCGGGUCUCUGGACAGUUCCUGACACUGAGGCACGAAGGCCAGGGGAGCAAACGGG
This 253-nucleotide ribosomal RNA is filed under the name uncultured bacterium. RNAcentral's name for it is "partial 16S ribosomal RNA". It matches the Rfam family "Bacterial small subunit ribosomal RNA", at positions 524 to 776 of the family's 1533-position model. The record is from RNAcentral.